Molecule: long non-coding RNA, 1030 nt
Filed under: Ananas comosus (pineapple)
Lineage: Eukaryota; Viridiplantae; Streptophyta; Magnoliopsida; Poales; Bromeliaceae
Description: long non-coding RNA (ACOM_LNC024017)
Source: RNAcentral
AAAUUUGAAUUCAGAUUGACCUUUGAUCUAUAGUGACAUAUAGGACUCGCGCUUCGCGGCAAAUAAAUAAUAUUUUAGUAAAUUAAUAUAUAUAAUUUUAAAAAUUUUAAAAUUCAUAAUUUAAAUAUAAAAUUUAAAAUCUAAAAUUUAGAAACUAAAAUUUAAAAUUUAAAACAGUAAAAGUUUAAAAUUUAGUUUUAGUAAUUAAGGUAAAAUAUAAAAUUUUAAAUUUUAAAUUUUAAAUUUUUAAUUUUAAAUUUUAAUAUUUUAAAUAUUAAAUUAUAAAUUGAAUUUAAAAAAUUCAAAUAUUAAAUUUCAAAUGUUGAAAUUUCAAUUUCAAAUGUUAAAAUUUAAAUUUUAAGUUCCGAUAUUUUAUAUUUUAAAUUUAAAUUGAAUUUUAAAUAAUAAAAAAUUUUAAAUUUUAAAUAUGUCACGCCCCGGAUUCCUCGUUCCCCGGGCACGCUAACAGACCCGCCGUAUACAUAGGAAUUUCUCCUGUAUACGAAGCGAAGCUGAACAAGAACCUAAAACCAAUCACACUACAAAUAGUAGUAUAGAGCUGCUAGAAAGAAAUAAAACAUAUAUAAAUAAACACAGAAUUUCACUAUACAUACAUAACAUCCAGGUGUACAAAACGCUCGCUCCAGCGAGAUACAACAUAAGUAUGUAUAAGAACUCAAAACUACCACUACAUGUAGCUGGUAUACUCUAGAUCAGCAGCAACUGGGAAGGGAUCUAACUCGCGACUCCUUUUCCGCGGUCUAAAUCAGCAACGGCAGCAGUCGAAGAAGAAGGCUUUGCAAAAGAUUUCAAUAAUUGGGCGUGAGAACUACUGUAAAAAGAAGUAGUCCUCAGUGGGUACUGCUACCGACCUCAACGGCUCACCCACUAAGUUUACAGAUGUAUGCUUAAAUGAUAGUAAGAAAACUGAAAACAAUCUACAGCUACAUAUCACUAUACUAUCAUGGUUCGACACUACUCUCUGUAGAAUAAAACAAGCUCAGACCCAAACUCACUAGGGACUGUAAAC